GACGAACGCUGGCGGCGUGCUUAACACAUGCAAGUCGAACGGAAAGGCCCUUCGGGGUACUCGAGUGGCGAACGGGUGAGUAACACGUGGGUGAUCUGCCCUGCACUUUGGGAUAAGCCUGGGAAACUGGGUCUAAUACCGAAUAGGACCGCGCGCUUCAUGGUGUGUGGUGGAAAGCUUUUGCGGUGUGGGAUGGGCCCGCGGCCUAUCAGCUUGUUGGUGGGGUAAUGGCCUACCAAGGCGACGACGGGUAGCCGGCCUGAGAGGGUGACCGGCCACACUGGGACUGAGAUACGGCCCAGACUCCUACGGGAGGCAGCAGUGGGGAAUAUUGCACAAUGGGCGCAAGCCUGAUGCAGCGACGCCGCGUGAGGGAUGACGGCCUUCGGGUUGUAAACCUCUUUCACCAGGGACGAAGCGGAAGUGACGGUACCUGGAGAAGAAGCACCGGCCAACUACGUG
RNAcentral lists this ribosomal RNA (462 nucleotides) under uncultured bacterium. RNAcentral describes it as "partial 16S ribosomal RNA". It matches the Rfam family "Bacterial small subunit ribosomal RNA", at positions 28 to 507 of the family's 1533-position model. The record is from RNAcentral.